This is a non-coding RNA of Cajanus cajan (pigeon pea), 621 nucleotides long. The record is from RefSeq and is a predicted model, not a curated record. NCBI's taxonomy places the organism in Eukaryota, Viridiplantae, Streptophyta, Magnoliopsida, Fabales, Fabaceae.
UUGAGGUCCUUACUGUAGCAAACCAAUCUCAGCCAUUCUCAUAAAAGAGUGAGUGUGUGUUUGAAUUAUAGUUAGAAAGUUAAAUUGAGUUGAGUUUAAAUUUUCAAAUAAAAGUAACAUUUUUUUUAGCUUUAGUUUAACUAAAGUUAGCUUGUAAUUUACACUCACACUCAACUGAAAGGGACAAAAAAAUUGUCAAGUAUAUAAGUACUGUGUUUGAGACCAACUAACUGCAAUUAGAAAUUUCAAAUGGAUAAUCAAACAUAGCUUGAUCGGGCAAAAUUAGCUUCUCAUCUUUCACAUGACAUUACGUGAAUAACAGGGAAUUCCUUGUUAUCAUGACAACUACAUGUAACAUUGCAUCACUGAAUACUCCCUAGUCACACAAUCAGUAGAAGGAAACAUAGACAAUAGUGAUGAGUUUAGUAAUACAGUAGCCACUUCACGUGAUUACCUAGCAAAGCUACUUUUCUGGUGUAUGUUAUUGGGCCACCACUUAAGAGGGUUGGAAAAUAGAUUUCAUCUGAGCUGUGUUGUUGGACUGUUGUAGACUUGUAGAAAAGGUUGUGCAUAAGGCCUAGGAUGCCUUUGGACGUAUUGAUUCCUUGAUUAACAACAUUA